CAUCAACAAAUGAAUAGAAAUAUCUUAUUCUGCUCUGCUGAUAUAACUAAUUCCCCAGCAGAACAGAAUAAGGGGACUGUUGAUACUUGGUUGAUUCUAAACAUCUGUUCUGGUAAUUUUGUAAAAGAUUGGAAAUCUUUGAAUAUAAAAAGAUUAUAAAGGUCGAAGCAAGACUUUCCGAUUCCCUUCUAUUGCUAUACUCAUUGGGUCUUGAAUUACAUUGGAUAGCCGGGGGAUAAUUCAACUACUAGUUAGGGAAUUUCUAUACUGUAAUCUACAUAUAUAGACUCACGUAUAGACUCGCGAGAAUCUCUGAGUGUUCAGGCAUUCAAUCACUAUUAGAUUGAGAUUGCAUAGAUUUUUUAUAGAAAAGAAAAAAAAUGAUUUUUUUUCACCCCUCGUCAAGAGUAUAAUAUACUAUCUCCCAACUCCUUCAGAUAGACAAUCGCGAAGGGGUACGGAUUAUAUCAAAUAUCAAUAUCAAAUAGGAAAUAAAAGUAUGUAAUAGAUAGCAAUUGAUCUAUUUUUACUUUGAAGGGCAAGAAAAACUUGUGUUUAGUCUUUCCCCAUUAGAAAUCAUAUAGGAAUUUUUGAAAUGGGUUUAUUUGAUUGGUUCAUCAAUAGUGUUUGGUCAGAAUCCCUUUUUGACUCUGGACCAUUCAUUCUACUAUUAUUAGUGAGCAAUAAUGGAAUAAUUC
Molecule: unclassified non-coding RNA, 698 nt
Filed under: Ligularia lancifera
Lineage: Eukaryota; Viridiplantae; Streptophyta; Magnoliopsida; Asterales; Asteraceae
Description: partial trnC-petN intergenic spacer
Source: RNAcentral